RNAcentral lists this ribosomal RNA (704 nucleotides) under uncultured bacterium. Its description in RNAcentral is "bacterial SSU rRNA". It matches the Rfam family "Bacterial small subunit ribosomal RNA", at positions 28 to 772 of the family's 1533-position model. The record is from RNAcentral.
GACCCGCUGGCCGGCAGGCCUAACACAUGACAAGUCGAGCGCGCCCUUCGGGGUGAGCGGCGGACGGGCGAGUAACGCGUGGGAACGUGCCCUUUGCUGCGGAAUAGCCACUGGAAACGGUGAGUAAUACCGCAUGAGCCCUUCGGGGGAAAGAUUUAUCGGCAAAGGAUCGGCCCGCGUUGGAUUAGGUAGUUGGUGGGGUAAUGGCCUACCAAGCUGACGAUCCAUAGCUGGUUUUAGAGGAUGAUCAGCCACACUGGGACUGAGACACGGCCCAGACUCCUACGGGAGGCAGCAGUGGGGAAUCUUAGACAAUGGGCGCAAGCCUGAUCUAGCCAUGCCGCGUGAGUGACGAAGGCCCUAGGGUCGUAAAGCUCUUUCGCCUGUGAUGAUAAUGACAGUAGCAGGUAAAGAAACCCCGGCUAACUCCGUGCCAGCAGCCGCGGUAAUACGGAGGGGGUUAGCGUUGUUCGGAAUUACUGGGCGUAAAGGGUGCGCAGGCGGCCUGGCAAGAAAGGUGUGAAAUCCCAGGGCUUAACCUUGGAAUGGCACUUUUAACUGCCAAGCUAGAGUAUGUCAGAGGGGGGUAGAAUUCCCACGUGUAGCCAGUGAAAUGCGUAGAGAUGUGGAGGAAUACCGAUGGCCAAAGGCAGCCCCCUGGGAUAAUUACUGACGCUCAAGGCACGAAAAGCAUGGGGAGCAAA